UCGCUGUCCAGUGCUAACGGGCGGUAUUUUUUCACCGAAGUUUACCCGGAAUAUUCUUGUUGAAGUAGGUGCAGUUAUGGUAAGGCAAUGGCUGAACAGCGAUAACCAGAAGUCUUGAAUUCCCACUGAGAACGUUCAAUAUGCACUGCACGCAGGAUGGGAACACAGAACACAGCUUGUUAGUCAUGGCUGCCCAUACCUGCCAAUGUUUGAGGAACCAAAGUAGAGACACGGGACCUCAGUAAGUGGAAGGACCU
This is a long non-coding RNA of Engraulis encrasicolus (European anchovy), 257 nucleotides long. RefSeq lists it as uncharacterized. NCBI's taxonomy places the organism in Eukaryota, Metazoa, Chordata, Actinopteri, Clupeiformes, Engraulidae. The transcript is spliced from 3 exons. The record is from RefSeq and is a predicted model, not a curated record.